Long non-coding RNA from Puntigrus tetrazona (Sumatra barb), 343 nucleotides. RefSeq lists it as uncharacterized. The record is from RefSeq and is a predicted model, not a curated record. The transcript has 3 exons. NCBI's taxonomy places the organism in Eukaryota, Metazoa, Chordata, Actinopteri, Cypriniformes, Cyprinidae.
GCUAAACAACACUGUUCAUGACCUUCUAUACGGGAUCAGUUUAUGGCCGGAGUUGUUUAUAAAUGGCCAGACAGUCAAGUUUCGAUUGGCCUCUGGUGGGCAGGAUAACAGACUGAGGAUAUGGAUUAUUUCCCAGCAUGCAGCAGCAGGAAGGAAGUCACUGGGUUACUCCAGAACGCUGGUCAGUGAUUGGUCAGUGGUGGACACGUUUAGGACCCACAACAUCGACGGGGCCGAGCUCAUCAACUUAAACACAGAGACCCUGAGCACCGAGUUUAAGAUCGGUGAGGAAACACACUCAACCCUGUUUUACACAGUGCUUUACUAUGAGUUAAAAAGCGAG